Molecule: ribosomal RNA, 433 nt
Filed under: uncultured bacterium
Lineage: Bacteria
Description: partial 16S ribosomal RNA
Rfam family: Bacterial small subunit ribosomal RNA
Source: RNAcentral
AACGAACGCUGGCGGCAUGCCUAACACAUGCAAGUCGAACGAGACCUUCGGGUCUAGGGGCGCACGGGGGCGUAACGCGUGGGAACCUGCCCUUAGGUUCGGAAUAACUCCCCGAAAGGUGUUCUAAUACCGGAUAAGGUCUUCCGGCCAAAGAUUUAUCGCCUUUGGAUGGGCCCGCGUUGGAUUAGCUAGUUGGUAAGGUAAAAGCCUAACAAGGCGACGAUCCAUAGCUGGUCGGGGAGGAGGCCCCGCCAGGCUGGGACUGAGACACGGACCAGAACCGUACGGGAGGGAGGAGUGGGGAAUACUGGAGGAGGGGCCAAAGUCCGAUCAAGCCAUGUCGGGUGAGUGAGGAAGGGCUUAGGGUUGCAAAUUCGCCUUUCCCGGGACGAGAAUGACAGUACCGGGAGAAGAAGCACCGGCUAACUACGUG